UGGCGAACGGGUGAGUAACACGUGGGUAAUCUGCCCUGCACUCUGGGAUAAGCCUGGGAAACUGGGUCUAAUACUGGAUAUGACCUUUCUCCUUAUGGGGUUUGGUGGAAAGUUUUUCGGUGUAGGAUGAGCCCGCGGCCUAUCAGCUUGUUGGUGGGGUGAUGGCCUACCAAGGCGACGACGGGUAGCCGGCCUGAGAGGGUGAUCGGCCACAUUGGGACUGGGAUACGGCCCAG
This 236-nucleotide ribosomal RNA is filed under the name uncultured Actinomycetales bacterium. RNAcentral's name for it is "partial 16S ribosomal RNA". It matches the Rfam family "Bacterial small subunit ribosomal RNA", at positions 96 to 334 of the family's 1533-position model. Lineage: Bacteria; Bacillati; Actinomycetota; Actinomycetes; Actinomycetales. The record is from RNAcentral.